ACGGAAGGCAGCAGUGGGGAAUAUUGGACAAUGGGGGAAACCCUGAUCCAGCGACGCCGCGUGAGUGAAGAAGUAUUUCGGUAUGUAAAGCUCUAUCAGCAGGGAAGAUAAUGACGGUACCUGACUAAGAAGCCCCGGCUAACUACGUGCCAGCAGCCGCGGUAAUACGUAGGGGGCAAGCGUUAUCCGGAUUUACUGGGUGUAAAGGGAGCGCAGACGGCAUUGCGAGUCUGAAGUGAAAUCCCGGGGCUCAACCCCGGAACUGCAUUUGAAACUGUAGCCCUUGAGUAUCGGAGAGGCAAGCGGAAUUCCUAGUGUAGCGGUGAAAUGCGUAGAUAUUAGGAGGAACACCAGUGGCGAAGGCGGCUUGCUGGACGACAACUGACGCUGAGGCGCGAAAGCGUGGGGAGCAAACAGGAUUAGAUACCCUGGUA
RNAcentral lists this ribosomal RNA (434 nucleotides) under uncultured Lachnoanaerobaculum sp. Its description in RNAcentral is "partial 16S ribosomal RNA". It matches the Rfam family "Bacterial small subunit ribosomal RNA", at positions 341 to 792 of the family's 1533-position model. The record is from RNAcentral. Lineage: Bacteria; Bacillati; Bacillota; Clostridia; Lachnospirales; Lachnospiraceae.